Molecule: ribosomal RNA, 340 nt
Filed under: uncultured bacterium
Lineage: Bacteria
Description: bacterial SSU rRNA
Rfam family: Bacterial small subunit ribosomal RNA
Source: RNAcentral
GAUGAACGCUGGCGGCGUGCCUAACACAUGCAAGUCGAACGGAGCUGCUUUGAUGAAGUUUUCGGAUGGAUUUAAAACAGCUUAGUGGCGGACGGGUGAGUAACGCGUGGGUAACCUGCCUCACACUGGGGGAUAACAGUUAGAAAUAGCUGCUAAUACCGCAUAAGCGCACGGUUCCGCAUGGAACAGUGUGAAAAACUCCGGUGGUGUGAGAUGGACCCGNGUCUGAUUAGCCAGUUGCGGGGUAACGGCCCACCAAAGCGACGAUCAGUAGCCGGCCUGAGAGGGUGAACGGCCACAUUGGGACUGAGACACGGCCCAAAAUCCUACGGGAGCAGCA